This is a non-coding RNA of Gymnothorax javanicus (giant moray), 73 nucleotides long. NCBI's taxonomy places the organism in Eukaryota, Metazoa, Chordata, Actinopteri, Anguilliformes, Muraenidae. The record is from the annotation of a GenBank genome assembly.
GUUUCCGAGGUGUAGUGGUUAUAACUUUUGUCUAACACGCGAAAGGUCCUCAGAACGAUACCGGGAGGAAAUG